Long non-coding RNA from Xenopus laevis (African clawed frog), 504 nucleotides. RefSeq lists it as uncharacterized. The transcript has 2 exons. Lineage: Eukaryota; Metazoa; Chordata; Amphibia; Anura; Pipidae. The record is from RefSeq and is a predicted model, not a curated record.
GGAGAGAAAUGUGAUGUUUCUUUUGACAAAGGACUCAGAGCAGCAUUAUUUUGAGGGGUUACUGGUGUAUUUAUAUAGACCUUUCUGACAAAGCUAAUUUCCUUCUCCUUUAAUGUUCCUUAUAGGAUAUUUUGUGCAACAUGUAUAUACAACCUAGCACAAGAAGUGAUUUGCCGAUCUUCGUAGGAGGGGCAAACUCACUGGAAUUCACUAAAAAUCAUUAAAGGGGCACUAUCCCCUCAUGUGCAAUGUGAGUGCAAAGGAGCAGUAUUGUGAAAGAAGUACAAGUACUUGUAGGGAAUGGGAGUACAGCCAUCUCUUUAAUAUAGUCUUAAACAUAAAUAGAGUUGAAGACCUCCAUCUUGAGUGCAAUAUACAACUGAUACGUGUGCUGGAAAUCCAGGAGCGCAAAGAUACACAUGGCAGUGGCCACGCAAAGGAAUUACCAAAGCCUUACAGACAAGGGUGUGAAUGCAAUCAUUUACGACCACAACGCCACUUGUU